Molecule: small nucleolar RNA, 128 nt
Organism: Cynocephalus volans (Philippine flying lemur)
Lineage: Eukaryota; Metazoa; Chordata; Mammalia; Dermoptera; Cynocephalidae
Product: small nucleolar RNA SNORA40
Exons: 1
Source: RefSeq, a predicted model, not a curated record
AGCACUUGUGUUUGCUUUUGUUUAACUUGUAGACAAAGACUUAUAGACAGGAGCAAAAAAAGUCCUCUUUAGCAACUGAAAAUGUUCAUUGUUCAGUAUGAGAUUUGAUAGUUCUAAGAAAGACUAUC